CCUACGGGAGGCAGCAGUGGGGGAUAUUGCACAAUGGGGGAAACCCUGAUGCAGCGACGCCGCGUGGGUGAAGAAGCGCCUCGGCGCGUAAAGCCCUGUCAGCAGGGAAGAAAAUGACGGUACCUGAAGAAGAAGCCCCGGCUAACUACGUGCCAGCAGCCGCGGUAAUACGUAGGGGGCAAGCGUUAUCCGGAUUUACUGGGUGUAAAGGGGGCGCAGACGGCAAUGCAAGCCAGGAGGUAAAGCCCGGGGCCCAACCCCGGGACUGCUCUUGGAACUGCGUGGCUAGAGUGCAGGAGGGGCAGGCGGAAUUCGUGGUGUAGCGGUGAAAUGCGUAGAUAUCAGGAGGAACACCGGUGGCGAAGGCGGCCUGCUGGACUGCAACUGACGUUGAGGCCCGAAAGCGUGGGGAGCAAACAGGAUUAGAUACCCCUGUAGUC
This 440-nucleotide ribosomal RNA is filed under the name uncultured bacterium. RNAcentral's name for it is "partial 16S ribosomal RNA". It matches the Rfam family "Bacterial small subunit ribosomal RNA", at positions 338 to 795 of the family's 1533-position model. The record is from RNAcentral.